RNAcentral lists this ribosomal RNA (657 nucleotides) under Pantoea agglomerans. RNAcentral describes it as "bacterial SSU rRNA". It matches the Rfam family "Bacterial small subunit ribosomal RNA", at positions 76 to 726 of the family's 1533-position model. The record is from RNAcentral. Lineage: Bacteria; Pseudomonadati; Pseudomonadota; Gammaproteobacteria; Enterobacterales; Erwiniaceae.
GAGCUUGCUCCUUGGGUGACGAGUGGCGGACGGGUGAGUAAUGUCUGGGGAUCUGCCCGAUAGAGGGGGAUAACCACUGGAAACGGUGGCUAAUACCGCAUAACGUCGCAAGACCAAAGAGGGGGACCUUCGGGCCUCUCACUAUCGGAUGAACCCAGAUGGGAUUAGCUAGUAGGCGGGGUAAUGGCCCACCUAGGCGACGAUCCCUAGCUGGUCUGAGAGGAUGACCAGCCACACUGGAACUGAGACACGGUCCAGACUCCUACGGGAGGCAGCAGUGGGGAAUAUUGCACAAUGGGCGCAAGCCUGAUGCAGCCAUGCCGCGUGUAUGAAGAAGGCCUUCGGGUUGUAAAGUACUUUCAGCGGGGAGGAAGGCGGUGAGGUUAAUAACCUCGCCGAUUGACGUUACCCGCAGAAGAAGCACCGGCUAACUCCGUGCCAGCAGCCGCGGUAAUACGGAGGGUGCAAGCGUUAAUCGGAAUUACUGGGCGUAAAGCGCACGCAGGCGGUCUGUUAAGUCAGAUGUGAAAUCCCCGGGCUUAACCUGGGAACUGCAUUUGAAACUGGCAGGCUUGAGUCUCGUAGAGGGGGGUAGAAUUCCAGGUGUAGCGGUGAAAUGCGUAGAGAUCUGGAGGAAUACCGGUGGCGAAGGCGGCC